GUGGGGAAUUUUGGACAAUGGGGGCAACCCUGAUCCAGCGACGCCGCGUGAGUGAUGAAGGCCUUCGGGUCGUAAAGCUCUGUUGCAGGGGAAGAACACAAUGACGGUACCCUGCUAGAAAGGAUCGGCUAACUUCGUGCCAGCAGCCGCGGUAAGACGAGGGAUCCUAGCGUUGUUCGGAAUUAUUGGGCGUAAAGCGGGUGCAGGUGGCUUGGUAAGUCAGAUGUGAAAGCCUGGGGCUUAACCCCAGAAGUGCAUUUGAUACUGCUGAGCUUGAGUGCUGGAGAGGCUAUUAGAAUUCCUGGUGUAGUGGUGAAAUACGUAGAUAUCAACAGGAAUACCGGAGGCGAAGGCGGGUAACUGGCCGAACACUGACACUGAGAUCCGAAAGCGUGGGGAUCAAACAGGAUUAGAAACCCUAGUAGUCC
Molecule: ribosomal RNA, 428 nt
Filed under: uncultured bacterium
Lineage: Bacteria
Description: bacterial SSU rRNA
Rfam family: Bacterial small subunit ribosomal RNA
Source: RNAcentral